UGGGGAAUAUUGCACAAUGGGCGCAAGCCUGAUGCAGCCAUGCCGCGUGUAUGAAGAAGGCCUUCGGGUUGUAAAGUACUUUCAGCGGGGAGGAAGGCGUUGUGGUUAAUAACCACAGCGAUUGACGUUACCCGCAGAAGAAGCACCGGCUAACUCCGUGCCAGCAGCCGCGGUAAUACGGAGGGUGCAAGCGUUACUCGGAAUUACUGGGCGUAAAGCGCACGCAGGCGGUCUGUUAAGUCAGAUGUGAAAUCCCCGGGCUCAACCUGGGAACUGCAUUUGAAACUGGCAGGCUUGAGUCUCGUAGAGGGGGGUAGAAUUCCAGGUGUAGCGGUGAAAUGCGUAGAGAUCUGGAGGAAUACCGGUGGCGAAGGCGGCCCCCUGGACGAAGACUGACGCUCAGGUGCGAAAGCGUGGGGAGCAAACA
This 427-nucleotide ribosomal RNA is filed under the name uncultured bacterium. RNAcentral's name for it is "partial 16S ribosomal RNA". It matches the Rfam family "Bacterial small subunit ribosomal RNA", at positions 355 to 774 of the family's 1533-position model. The record is from RNAcentral.